AUGCCGCGGUGAAUACGUUCCCGGGCCUUGUACACACCGCCCGUCACACCACGAGAGUUUGCAACACCCGAAGUCGGUGGGGUAACCCUUACGGGAGCCAGCCGCCUAAGGUGGGGCAGAUGAUUGGGGUGAAGUCGUAACAAGGUAGCCGUAUCGGAAGGUGCGGCUGGAUCACCUCCUUUCU
RNAcentral lists this ribosomal RNA (184 nucleotides) under Pseudobacillus badius. RNAcentral describes it as "Bacillus badius partial 16S ribosomal RNA". It matches the Rfam family "Bacterial small subunit ribosomal RNA", at positions 1354 to 1533 of the family's 1533-position model. The record is from RNAcentral. Lineage: Bacteria; Bacillati; Bacillota; Bacilli; Caryophanales; Bacillaceae.